Pelodiscus sinensis (Chinese soft-shelled turtle) is the source of this 139-nucleotide small nucleolar RNA. Ensembl annotates it as small nucleolar RNA SNORD10. Its record names the gene SNORD10. NCBI's taxonomy places the organism in Eukaryota, Metazoa, Chordata, Testudines, Trionychidae. The record is from Ensembl.
GUUCAGUGAUGAUUUCCCCCAUGCGUGUCAGCUGAUCCCAGUGCUUCCUUGUGCUUCUGCUUGGCGUUCUGCCUGCAGGCUGCCCGUCUGGGUCUGGCACAGGGUUUCUGGGCAUGAUCAGAGCCCUCUGACUGAGAAC